RNAcentral lists this ribosomal RNA (252 nucleotides) under uncultured bacterium. Its description in RNAcentral is "partial 16S ribosomal RNA". It matches the Rfam family "Bacterial small subunit ribosomal RNA", at positions 525 to 776 of the family's 1533-position model. The record is from RNAcentral.
AACGGGGGGGCUAGCGUUGUUCGGAAUUACUGGGCGUAAAGCGCACGUAGGCGGCGAUUUAAGUCAGAGGUGAAAGCCCGGAGCUCAACUCCGGAACUGCCUUUGAGACUGGAUUGCUAGAAUCUUGGAGAGGCGAGUGGAAUUCCGAGUGUAGAGGUGAAAUUCGUAGAUAUUCGGAAGAACACCAGUGGCGAAGGCGGCUCGCUGGACAAGUAUUGACGCUGAGGUGCGAAAGCGUGGGGAGCAAACAGG